This 490-nucleotide ribosomal RNA is filed under the name Shewanella sp. MED2. RNAcentral describes it as "bacterial SSU rRNA". It matches the Rfam family "Bacterial small subunit ribosomal RNA", at positions 30 to 509 of the family's 1533-position model. Lineage: Bacteria; Pseudomonadati; Pseudomonadota; Gammaproteobacteria; Alteromonadales; Shewanellaceae. The record is from RNAcentral.
UGAACGCUGGCGGCAGGCCUAACACAUGCAAGUCGAGCGGUAACAGGAAGUAGCUUGCUACUUUGCUGACGAGCGGCGGACGGGUGAGUAAUGCCUGGGAAUUUGCCCAUUUGUGGGGGAUAACAGUUGGAAACGACUGCUAAUACCGCAUACGCCCUACGGGGGAAAGGAGGGGACCUUCGGGCCUUCCGCGAAUGGAUAAGCCCAGGUGGGAUUAGCUAGUAGGUGAGGUAAUGGCUCACCUAGGCGACGAUCCCUAGCUGUUCUGAGAGGAUGAUCAGCCACACUGGGACUGAGACACGGCCCAGACUCCUACGGGAGGCAGCAGUGGGGAAUAUUGCACAAUGGGCGAAAGCCUGAUGCAGCCAUGCCGCGUGUGUGAAGAAGGCCUUCGGGUUGUAAAGCACUUUCAGCGAGGAGGAAAGGUUAACGAUUAAUACUCGUUAGCUGUGACGUUACUCGCAGAAGAAGCACCGGCUAACUCCGUGCC